RNAcentral lists this transfer RNA (73 nucleotides) under Camelus bactrianus (Bactrian camel). It matches the Rfam family "tRNA". From Rfam's summary of the family: Transfer RNA (tRNA) molecules are approximately 80 nucleotides in length. Their secondary structure includes four short double-helical elements and three loops (D, anti-codon, and T loops). Lineage: Eukaryota; Metazoa; Chordata; Mammalia; Artiodactyla; Camelidae. RNAcentral also lists the same sequence under 2 other names. The record is from Rfam by way of RNAcentral.
GAGGGUAUAGCUCAAGUGGUAGAGUGCAUGCUUAGCACGCAUAACAUCCUGGGUUUAAUCCCCAGAACCUCCU